AGCGGCGAGCGAAACGGAAAGAGCCCAAACCAAGAAGCUUGCUUCUUGGGGUUGUAGGACACUCUAUACGGAGUUACAAAAGAAAGUUAUAAAUGAAGCGGUCUGGAAAGGCCCGCCAAAGACGGUAACAGCCCGGUAGUUGAAAUGGCUUUCCCUCCAGAGUGGAUCCUGAGUACGGCGGAACACGUGAAAUUCCGUCGGAAUCCGGGAGGACCAUCUCCCAAGGCUAAAUACUCCCUAGUGACCGAUAGUGAACCAGUACCGUGAGGGAAAGGUGAAAAGCACCCCGGAAGGGGAGUGAAACAGUUCCUGAAACCGUGUGCCUACAAGUAGUUAGAGCCCGUUAAUGGGUGAUAGCGUGCCUUUUGUAGAAUGAACCGGCGAGUUACGAUUUGUUGCAAGGUUAAGCGGAAAAAGCGGAGCCGUAGCGAAAGCGAGUCUGAAUAGGGCGCAUAAGUAACAGGUCGUAGACCCGAAACCAGGUGAUCUACCCAUGUCCAGGAUGAAGGUAAGGUAAUACUUACUGGAGGUCCGAACCCACGCACGUUGAAAAGUGCGGGGAUGAGGUGUGGGUAGCGGAGAAAUUCCAAUCGAACUUGGAGAUAGCUGGUUCUCUCCGAAAUAGCUUUAGGGCUAGCCUCGAGGUAAAGAGUCAUGGAGGUAGAGCACUGUUUGGACUAGGGGCCCUUCUCGGGUUACCGAAUUCAGAUAAACUCCGAAUGCCAUGUACUUAUACUCGGGAGUCAGACUGCGAGUGAUAAGAUCCGUAGUCGAAAGGGAAACAGCCCAGACCACCAGUUAAGGUCCCCAAAUAUAUGUUAAGUGGAAAAGGAUGUGGGGUUGCUUAGACAACCAGGAUGUUGGCUUAGAAGCAGCCACCAUUGAAAGAGUGCGUAAUAGCUCACUGGUC
Molecule: ribosomal RNA, 910 nt
Filed under: Listeria monocytogenes
Lineage: Bacteria; Bacillati; Bacillota; Bacilli; Caryophanales; Listeriaceae
Description: partial 23S ribosomal RNA
Rfam family: Bacterial large subunit ribosomal RNA
Source: RNAcentral